This 606-nucleotide ribosomal RNA is filed under the name Micrometula hyalostriata. RNAcentral describes it as "bacterial SSU rRNA". It matches the Rfam family "Eukaryotic small subunit ribosomal RNA", at positions 1220 to 1547 of the family's 1831-position model. The record is from RNAcentral. Lineage: Eukaryota; Foraminifera; Allogromiidae.
GGGUCCGGACACACUGAGGAUUGACAGGCAAAAGAUACAAGUUUUCUUUGUGAGAGCUUGCAUUGUAAAAUAUGCGAGUCCUUUCAUGAUUAUGUGAUAGGUGGUGCAUGGCCGUUCUUAGUUCGUGGAGUGAUCUGUCUGCUUAAUUGCGUUUCACAACGAUUUAAAAUGCUAUGUUUUCUGUGUUUGCUGUUCGGUUUUAGCUCUUACGGGAGUUUUUAACUUUGAACGCACACGGCGUAGCUUAAAACAAUCGGAAAGCAACGAACGUGACCGCAACCUCUUGUUGCCUUUAUUUUUAAAAGCGUGGAAAAUUUUAUUUUCUUACGCUUGAAAAAGGCUUUAAAACUAGAGGGACCGCUGUUCUAUUCUCUUAAACCAGAGGAAGAUUGCGGCAAUAACAGGUCUGUGAUGCCCUCAGAUGUUCCGGGCUGCACACGUGCUACAAUGAUUGUUGCAGUGAGCAUCUAUUUUCAAACGCUACCGUUGCGGAUUUUGUGAGAAGGGGGCUUGUUUUAAAGCUUUCGGGUGGAGAAGCAGGUUUCUUUUUUUCACAAUUUAUUCCGCGUUACGUGUCAGCUAAACCUGCUUCGAAAGCAAGUAGGU